GCCGCGAACACCAUGUUCUCCAGAGCGGUGGAGCAGUGAACAAACGGUCGGUGAGGAGACCCCCGCACUGAGCCGACACACGGACUUCAGACACGGCCCGCCCACCUCAACCUCUCCCGGGUGAACUUCGGGUUUUUCUGCCCGCAGUGGCUAUCGUGGUUACCUGAGGGGGUGAACUCCAAUGAGAAGCAAAGAAAUACAAGGAGAUUGCCCUCUGAGAUGGCGCAUCAACCAUAUCACAAAGUUGCCUACCUUCUUGGAAACAACUAAUGUGCUGCUUGCAAUAUGAGAUGUCAAUGUUUGAUCAAACUACCAUUAACUGAAUUCAACUGUUGAAUAAAUGGUUGUAAACUA
This is a long non-coding RNA of Pristis pectinata (smalltooth sawfish), 354 nucleotides long. RefSeq lists it as uncharacterized. The transcript is spliced from 2 exons. The record is from RefSeq and is a predicted model, not a curated record. Lineage: Eukaryota; Metazoa; Chordata; Chondrichthyes; Rhinopristiformes; Pristidae.